ACAUACCAGUCCGUCUUCUCGUUCUUUACGCAGUCGAGGGACCUGAUCGGCCGUUGCACCAAAAAGAAA
RNAcentral lists this small RNA (69 nucleotides) under Arabidopsis thaliana (thale cress). Its description in RNAcentral is "ATSL176090". The record is from RNAcentral. Lineage: Eukaryota; Viridiplantae; Streptophyta; Magnoliopsida; Brassicales; Brassicaceae.